GGACCUCAGAUCAGGCAAGGCUACCCGCUG
This 30-nucleotide ribosomal RNA is filed under the name Pocillopora sp. PG-2017. RNAcentral describes it as "partial 28S ribosomal RNA". Lineage: Eukaryota; Metazoa; Cnidaria; Anthozoa; Scleractinia; Pocilloporidae. The record is from RNAcentral.